UACGUAGGUGGCAAGCGUUGUCCGGAUUUACUGGGCGUAAAGAGCGCGCAGGCGGUCGUAUAAGUCGAAUGUGAAAGCCCCCGGCUCAACUGGGGAGGGUCAUUCGAUACUGUUCGACUCGAAGGCAGGAGAGGGAAGUGGAAUUCCGGGUGUAGUGGUGAAAUUCGUAGAUAUUGGGAAGAACACCGGUGGCGAAGGCGGCGCUCUGGACCGAGACUGACGCUGAGGCGCGAAGGCGUGGGGAGCAAACAGG
This 253-nucleotide ribosomal RNA is filed under the name uncultured bacterium. Its description in RNAcentral is "partial 16S ribosomal RNA". It matches the Rfam family "Bacterial small subunit ribosomal RNA", at positions 524 to 776 of the family's 1533-position model. The record is from RNAcentral.